Molecule: non-coding RNA, 23 nt
Filed under: Cricetulus griseus (Chinese hamster)
Lineage: Eukaryota; Metazoa; Chordata; Mammalia; Rodentia; Cricetidae
Source: RNAcentral
UGUUGACACUUUGGGUCUGAGUG